AUUGAACGCUGGCGGCAGGCCUAACACAUGCAAGUCGAGCGGGGUUUUCGGACCUAGCGGCGGACGGGUGAGUAAUGCGUAGGAAGCUACCCGAUAGAGGGGGAUACCAGUUGGAAACGACUGUUAAUACCGCAUAAUGUCUACGGACCAAAGUGUGGGACCUUCGGGCCACAUGCUAUCGGAUGCGCCUACGUGGGAUUAGCUAGUUGGUGAGGUAAUGGCUCACCAAGGCGACGAUCUCUAGCUGGUUUGAGAGGAUGAUCAGCCACACUGGAACUGAGACACGGUCCAGACUCCUACGGGAGGCAGCAGUGGGGGAAUAUUGGACAAUGGGCGGCAAGCCUGAUCAGCCAUGCCGCGUGUGUGAAGAAGG
This 373-nucleotide ribosomal RNA is filed under the name uncultured bacterium. Its description in RNAcentral is "bacterial SSU rRNA". It matches the Rfam family "Bacterial small subunit ribosomal RNA", at positions 30 to 414 of the family's 1533-position model. The record is from RNAcentral.